Molecule: long non-coding RNA, 4305 nt
Filed under: Medicago truncatula (barrel medic)
Lineage: Eukaryota; Viridiplantae; Streptophyta; Magnoliopsida; Fabales; Fabaceae
Description: long non-coding RNA (MTRU_LNC004547)
Source: RNAcentral
AUAAGAAACCAGACGCAUCCAAAACACAUUAGUCAUAAAACUCAUCCGAGUUGUAUCAUUUACAAAAUAGAGCAGAAAUUUGAUCACUCUUAGGUGAACAUUACAACUAAAACAUGGUAAAAAAAAACAAAAAGGAAUAAAUUGUUAACAAGAUUCCUUUGACAACGUAACAGAGAUGCAAAUCAUGUCAAUGCUCAUCUGCUUGCAGUUUGAAUUCAAAACAUCUCUUGUCCAUUUUGUCGAGACUCUUCAUGAACUUGUGAUCCAUAUCUUGUUUCUUCUCUCUGAAGUAGUUAUGAAUGAUUUUGAUUGACGUUGCGGUUGUGUCCCAUCUUCAAUUUCCAAAAUCUUGCACUUCUGAGCCAAGGAAGCUUCAUGAUUCAUUAUUGUUAAACUGAACUCUUGUAGGUCUUGUUUACAUAUUCAACGAUGCACGCAACUCUUCACCUCCGUACCCACAUCCCUAAUAAUUUCAACACAGGUAGGGACAAAAUCAAGAUGAUCAUCGGGCGACUGAAAUUGAAACCUUCACUCGAGCCUUCUGUUUGUCCAUUAGAAUUAGAUAUGCUGUUUGUCUCGGAUGCAAUUGCAACCUCUUCAACCUGUGCUGCGACAGGUGUUUGUUCUUCUUGCACUUCUUCAGUUACAUCUAUUAAUAGAGGAUCCAAAGUUAAAGAAAACUAUAAUGAUGUCUUUCAAUUGCUUUGGUUGCAUAAAAUUGAUUGAUGCGGAUCGUGUAGAAAAUGAAAUGGGUACUAGAUCAUGCAAUAUGUGGUUUAUAUAUAACAAAUUCAGAAAACAUACGAUCAAUUUCAAUUCAUUAACCAAAACUCAUUGAGGCAAGCGAGACUUGAAAAUUAAUAAAGCAUAACCUUUAUUCGCGCUUCCUUCAGGAGACAAAUCAUCACUUUGUCCACUCAAACUAGCAUCGAUCUCAUUGUUAUCUGGAACAGCUUCAACAUUGUCAUCUACUUGAAACAGAAAGGAAAUAUUAUUAUUCAGAAAAUGACAUACAAUCAGUAGUUCCAAAUGCGAUAAAUUAGCAGAAAAAGUGUGAGAUAAAAAAAUAAGAACCUUCUGAUUCUGUGAUAACAGAGCAAGGCUCAACUGCAUCGAUAUGUGAUUGUUGUUUAGCUUCGGCAACAAUUUGAUCAACUCCAUUUUCUGUUACACUUUCAUCAGCCACUUCAGAUGUAGAGGUUUGAGAUUUUUUCUUGUGGAUGACAUGAAUGCAGAUUUCCGUGAUAAAGUGUUCCUUAAAAUGUUGUCUAUGAAACACAGACACCAGACGCAGCACGGAAAUUACAACCUAACACAAAUUUAAAACCCCCACUCGGUAAAUCAUAAAAUUCAGUCUAAAAAUUAAAAUAUAAAGUUAACAAAAUUCUUUUGAAUUAUCUUCAGUACCUCUGCUUGCAGUUGACAACAGAGAUUGUUUUUGCGGUUGACUUGUUAGCACUUGUUGACAUUUAAAAAUUAGAAAUCUUAUGUAAGAAUUCAACGAUAUGUCCAAACUCCUAGUUUGAAAUAUGAAGCAAAUAAGAUGAAAUUGCAACCUUUGCUCAGGCCUUCAUCUAAAGUUGUAAUGCCAGUUUGUCUAUUAGAGUUAGAUACACUUCUUUUUUUUUAAUGCAAUUGCAACUUCUUCAACUUGUGUUGCUACUGGUGUUUGUUCUGGCACUUCUUCAGGUGCAGGACUUUCAGGAGAGGGAACUUGAUAAUUUUCUUCUGUUACAUCUGUCAAUAGAGGAUUCAAGGUUAAAUGAAACUCCCUUCAUAACAAAAAGAAAAAAAUCCUCCAUCUCCAUAUAGGAAAAAAAAAAAUCCUCUAUCCGUUAUGUGUAAUAAGCUAAAUAAGCUAGCUAUUAUGUGUAAUAUCAUUCUUGUUAAAUAGCAGCGCUAUAUUGCUACAGCGAGUGGACUAUGAACAAAUUGCUAUUAUUCAGAAUUACGAUAGUUAGUGCAAAAUGUUGUGAAAUAGCAUCUAUAGUGGCGCUAUAAAACUAUUGUGUAGCGGUAAGAAAUUGUUACUUUCAGCGAUACACGAUUGACAACACUGAUUCAAUCAAGCAAGCAGGAUUUGAAAAUGCAUUAAGCAUAACCUAUAUUCAAGAUUCUCUCAGAAGACAAAUCACCACUUUGUCCUGUCAAACUAGCACCGAUCUCAUUGUUCUCUGGAACAGCUCUAUCAUUGUCACCUAUUUGAAAUGCAAAGGAAAUAUUAUUCGGUAAGUUAAUCGGAAAAACCAUGUACAUGUAUGUUACUGCAAAAAAAUAUGAUUGAUUUUUGUUGUAAUUUCGAAAGAGAAAAAAAAUACAUACAAUCAGUAUUUCCAUAUGUAAAAUACUAAUGAGAUAAAUUAUUAGAAAAAGUGUGAGAUAGAAAAGAAGAACCUUCUCCUUCUUGAGGAGCUGGUGCAUUUGAGGUAAUUGUUUACAGCAUCCAAGUCUUCUUCAUAAACUAAACUUUCAGCAUCUGAGUUUACAGUGUCUGUGUCGUAUCUGAUGUCCGUGUCCGUAUCCGUGCUACCUUGUUGGCAACAGUUUUCGAGGAACCGACCAACUGGUAAGUCAGUUUCGACAUUGCAUGUUGCAAUAUCUGUCUGAAUAGCUUCUUCAAUAAUUGAAAUUACAGCAUCUGAAUCUUCCUGAGAAACCAAACUUUCAGCAUCUGAAUCUACGGUGUCCGUGUCCGUAUCCGUGUUACCUUGUUGGCAACAGUUGCUGAGGAACCGACCAAUGAAUCGACCAAUGAUAUGGAGGUUCGAGAUUUUUUUCUGUUGAGAUUCAGUAGAAACUUCAUCUGCAACAGGUGAAUCCGGUGCCUCCGCGGAUACUUCUGUUUCUGUGGCUGAUAUGGAGGUUCGAGAUUUAUUUCUGUGGAUGACAUGAAUGCAGAUUUCAGUGAUAUAGUGUUCCUUAAAAUGUUGUUGUCUAUGAAACACAGACACCGGAAACGGAAAUGAAAUUACAACCUAACAUAUUUAAAACUCCCACCCCGUAAAUUAUAAAAUUCAGUCUAAAAUGCAAGUCAGACAAAGAAAGUGUCACUUCUGCCAACAAAAUCAUACAACAGAGAUUUAUAAAGUGAUGAAUAAUAUAAAAUUAACAAGAUUCUUUUGAAUUAUCUUCAGUACCGCUGCUUGCAGUUGACAACAGAGAUUGUUUUUGCGGUUGACUUGUUAGCACUUCUUGACAUAUUUAAAAAUUAGAAAUUUUAUGUAAGAAUUCAACGAUAUGUCAGCAGGCUGAAAAACCAAAGAAAUGUCUUUAACCCCCCAAAGGUAAAGCAUUGGUUGGUCCAAACUCCCAGUUCUACCGAGGGAAAAGAGAUCCAAUUAAAAAUCGCCACAGAUGAUUCUGUUUGGAUAAACAACUUAAUUAAGCGCGUAUGGCAUACGCACUUAAUUAAGUUGUUUAUCCAUGCAAAACCUAUGUAAAAACUAUUUUAAUAGAAAAAUAUAAAAUAAAGUAAAACAGUUUACAUGCAAGCUAUAAGCUUUUUUCAUAAUUUGAAAACAGCUUAUGGAAAUGUCAUAAGUUGUUUCCCUAAGCUAUCCAGUCAGUCUCUCAAGUUCUUAUGUUGUUAGGUAAGCUCAAAUAAGCCAAUCCAAACAAGCCCACCAUAAAAAAACUGUUCUCUUUUACAUGUAAAAACUAAAAUACAUAUUUACUUCUGUUCUAUGGAGAAAAAUGAGAGUGGAAAUAUGAAGCAGAUAAGAAGAAAUUGAAACCUCUUCAACUUGAUCGCUUUCUUUGGUAUAAUAAAUUGAAACCUGGGGAAGUUUGUUCCUCCUGCACUUCUUCUGUUACAUCUGUUAAUAGAAGAUCCAAAGUUAAAGAAAAAUAUAAUGUUUCUUUGGUACAAUAUCAAAUUCAUAACAAAUUCAGAAAACAUGCGAUCCAAACAUUGAGGCAAGCAGGAGUUGAAAAUUAAUUACACGCCUAAUCUUCCAAGUGUAUGUGCUCCAUAGGCUGUUGUUAUUCACACCCAAAACAUUGAAUUGUGUAAUUUUUUUAAAUUAGUAUUGGUGUCAACGUUUCAAUAUAUUCGUGUUGAGUCAUGUAUCCAUGCCGGUGCUUCAUACAAUUUACCCAAAGAAAAAGGAAAUAGAUAAAAAAUUCAAACUCAAUUAUUGAAAAAAAAAACUUACUUUACAAAUCCAAACGUGUCAGGUUGAGACUCUUCAUGACCUUCUUGUUCUGGUUGUUCAAUUGCCAUAAUCUUACACUUCGGAGCCAAGGAUAUUUUGUGAUUCAUCAUUGUUAAAUUGAACUCUUGUAGGUCUUGUUUACAUACCCAAC